RNAcentral lists this ribosomal RNA (599 nucleotides) under uncultured bacterium. Its description in RNAcentral is "partial 16S ribosomal RNA". The stretch from base 1 to 530 matches the Rfam family "Bacterial small subunit ribosomal RNA", at positions 338 to 873 of the family's 1533-position model. The record is from RNAcentral.
CCUACGGGAGGCAGCAGUAAGGAAUAUUGGACAAUGGACGCAAGUCUGAUCCAGCCAUGCCGCGUGAAGGAUUAAGGCCCUCUGGGUUGUAAACUUCUUUUAUAGGGGACGAAAAAAGGGCUUUCUAGCUCGACUGACGGUACCCUAUGAAUAAGCACCGGCUAACUCCGUGCCAGCAGCCGCGGUAAUACGGAGGGUGCAAGCGUUAUCCGGAUUCACUGGGUUUAAAGGGUGCGUAGGCGGGCAGUUAAGUCAGUGGUGAAAUCUCUGGGCUCAACCCGGAAACUGCCAUUGAUACUAUCUGUCUUGAAUAUUGUGGAGGUGAGCGGAAUAUGUCAUGUAGCGGUGAAAUGCUUAGAUAUGACAUAGAACACCGAUUGCGUAGGCAGCUCGCUACACAUAUAUUGACGCUGAGGCACGAAAGCGUGGGGAUCAAACAGGAUUAGAUACCCUGGUAGUCCACGCCCUAAACUAUGAUUACUCGACAUAUGCGAUACACUGUAUGUGUCUGAGNGAGANAUAUANACACNGAGUACGACGCGAGUAGACGACGAAGAAGUAGACGACGNGAGAGAGCGACGGACGACACGAGGGAGAGG